This 2986-nucleotide long non-coding RNA is filed under the name Arabidopsis lyrata. RNAcentral describes it as "long non-coding RNA (ALYR_LNC002939)". The record is from RNAcentral. Lineage: Eukaryota; Viridiplantae; Streptophyta; Magnoliopsida; Brassicales; Brassicaceae.
AAGAGUCAUUAUUGAAGAUUACAUUCAAACCAAUCACUCAGAAGCAAAAAAACAGAGGAAUCACAAAAAAAAACAAAACAAGAGUUUAUGAGAAUUUGGUCAUCGCCACUUAUAUUGUUUAUGAGAAUUGGGGCAAUGAGGUCAUCGCCACUUUAUUCAAUCUUCUGAUUAACAGUUUUUGAUUCGCUUAAAGAACCUUCUGAGCAGAUGGCCUAGAAGUGAUGUCAGCAACCCAAGCACUGACAUGUGGACGCUCGUCGAAGAGUUUCUUAGUUGGAGUACCAAGUAAGUAUUGAAUCACAGGGAUAGUGUGAAGAUCGACCAAAGUGAAGUGAUCAGAAGCCAAAUACUUAGACUCACCAAGCCUGUGUUCGUAAACAUCGAGAACUUUGGCUAACUUAACCUCUUCCUCUUCAACAACGGUUUUGUCUGUGGUCAUACCAUACAAAGGCUUAAAGACUUGCUCCCAAACAAGCUUGGAACCAACUGGGUCAAACUCAUGCGAUUCAAUUUCAAUGCCCAUGGCUAUGACCGCAAUGGCCUUGGAGCCAAGGGAGACAAGUUGGUUUCCUUUGUCUGAGUAAAAAUGAGCUAUGUAUUGAGUAAUUGCUCUUGAUUCUGUCAACAGAAACAUAAAAAAACUUUAGUGUUUCUGCUUUCUUUAAUUGAAUUUAUAGAAAAAAAGAAAAAAGAAUUUAAGUGAUUUAAGUAUGAUUAGGCCUAAAUUUAAGUGUUUUGCUGCUUACCGAAAAGCUUGAAGUCUCCAUCUUCAAAGGCUGGAACUUUACCAAAAGGCUGCAAAGCAAUAUUCAAGAUUUUUCAGAUCAAGAUUCAGUAUAUAAAUGAAACAAUAUUUUCUUAUGACAAAUAUUAUAUGUACUCACGUUGCGAAAGAUGAAAGGUUCUUUCUUGUGUUCACCAUCUUUGAGCUCGAUAUGAACGAAUUCGAAGUCGAGAUUCUUCUCGUGUAGAGCGAUGAGAACUCUUCUAGUGGCUGUGGAAGCUGGGUGACCGAAAACUUUGAUUCCUGCCAUUAGUUAAUUAAUGAUGUUUUUAGUGUUCUUGAAGUGGAGAUUUAUAAAAGUAGAGAGAUCUUUGUUGUUGAUGAAAAGAAAUACACAUAUGGGGAAGUGUAUUUAUACAACUAAAACACAGUAACUUAGUGAAUAAACAAAAACAAGAAAAAAAACUCGGCGCCACCAAUCUUGAAUACUCUUUGUUAUUUCAAGUCCAGCUGAGUAAUGUAUGAUUUGUCUUUUCUAUUGGUUCAAGACUUUGAUAUAUCGUUAAUAUAAAUUAAAAAACAAUAUAAUCGGAGAAAAUAUCAACCAUGGCGCGAUUAACGACAACAAGAAUAGUCUUUUAUCUACUAGUCAAAGUUUGACCGACGUUGUUGAAUCGACGUGGAUCGUUGGAUGUUCAAAUUGGAUAGUUGAGUCAAGGAGAUGAGGCAAUGUGAAGCUACAAGCCAAGAAGCUAGACUUUUUGAGUCGUCGUUUGUAUAUAUCUAGAACCUUCUCUAGCUUCCCCUUGGUUUUCAUUCACAACCUUUAUAGUCCGCCUUUAGGCCGUACUUAGGCUUGAUGGAUUGCUCCCAGGUCAGUAUUGAUGCGAGUGGUUCGAACUCAGAAGUUUCGGUAGCCAUGCACAUUGCUUGUGUUCCCAUGUUUUGUAGCUUUCGUCCCUAUGUUUUCAGAUAUAGCUCGAGAAUAUGAGGAAGACUAACUAUAUCAAAAUUUGCCCGGAAUCAAAUUCAAAAAGGUUUAUUAGAUCAAUUAGUUGGAAGUGUACGUAAGAUCAAGAGGCUUAAAACGUGAGACAUAACAAACUUGAGUAACUAAUCGUUAGGUAAUAAUCAACCCUCGUUAUAACAUGCUUGCUAAGUCAAUGAUUUAUGGCUAAAUUAAUCUAGAAAAUUGUUAAACUAACGUGGAUUUCAACAAAGAGUUUAGAGAUUAGAAGACUGUCGUUUAAACAGAUAAGGCCAGUUAAAUGGAAACCCUAGUUAAGACCUAAAUUUCGUGAAACACAAGUCAUCUAACUAUAGGUGCAAAGGUACAUUGAGAGAACGUUAAACGCGGCUCACUCUCGAGUAAAUGACGGUUUAGCGAGGGAGCUAUAGCCACCCACAGCAAUUCAAUUUUGUUAUACGCUUCCUUAGAAAACCAUAACUUUUUAUCUUAAAAACAACUUCCUUUCUACUCUGUUUUAUUUGGGAAACUAAUUAACUUCUAACUUCUUUGAAUAUUUAUAUAGGAACCUUUUUUGGUGACAGUUAUGCCCAAAAAUGAUAAAUAACAUUGUUGACUUUGAAGCUUGCCAUCAUCAGAGAAGGUUUGGAAUUGAUUAGGAAAACGAAGAAGAUUAUUAGUGUGAUUGAUGAGUAGCAGAACUAAUUUGGAGUUGGUGUUGUAAUAUUUUAAUUAAAAAAAUGUGUUUUUGUCUGAAUUUAAACUUACGAUACUAACUAAUUUGCAGAUUAAGACCUUCAACCAAUUAAGACGCAUUUACAGUAAACAGUCAAUUUCUUUCUUACAAUGGGAAAAGAAAGAAAAGUCAACUUUCAAGACUUAGAAGAAUAGAAUGAGACAUUGAGAUGAACAUUAAUUGGUGGCUAAACUUUAAGAUAAAAUAUUUUAUUAUAUAUGAAGACUCAUUAUUGAAGAUUACAUUCAAACCAAUCACUCAGAAGCAGAAAACAGAGGAAACACACCAAAAAGCAAAACAGAGUUGAUGAGAAUUGGGCAAUUAGGUCAUCGCCACUUUUAUUGUUUGUGAGAGAAUUGAGGCAAUUAGGUCAUCGCCACUUUUAUUCAAAUCUUCUGAUUCACUUAAAGAACCUUUUGAGCAGAAGGCCUAGAAGUGAUGUCAGCAACCCAAGCACUGACAUGUGGACGCUCGUCGAAGAGUUUCUUAGUUGGAGUUCCAAGUAAGUACUGAAUCACAGGGAUAGUGUGAAGAUCGACCAAAGUGAAGUGAUCAGCAG